UGCCAGCCGCCGCGGUAAUACGGAGGGGGCUAGCGUUGUUCGGAAUUACUGGGCGUAAAGCGCACGUAGGCGGACUGAUAAGUUGGGGGUGAAAUCCCAAGGCUCAACCUUGGAACUGCCCUCGAAACUGUCAGUCUUGAGUCCGGAAGAGGUGAGUAGAAUUCCUAGUGUAGAGGUGAAAUUCGUAGAUAUUAGGAAGAACACCAGUGGCGAGGGCGGCUCUCUGGGCCGAUAUUGACGCUGAGGCGCGAAGGCGUGGGUAGCGAACGGGAUUAGAUA
This 279-nucleotide ribosomal RNA is filed under the name uncultured bacterium. RNAcentral's name for it is "partial 16S ribosomal RNA". It matches the Rfam family "Bacterial small subunit ribosomal RNA", at positions 506 to 784 of the family's 1533-position model. The record is from RNAcentral.